RNAcentral lists this transfer RNA (75 nucleotides) under Candidatus Nomurabacteria bacterium. Its description in RNAcentral is "tRNA-Gly". It matches the Rfam family "tRNA". Rfam says of the family: Transfer RNA (tRNA) molecules are approximately 80 nucleotides in length. Their secondary structure includes four short double-helical elements and three loops (D, anti-codon, and T loops). Lineage: Bacteria; Candidatus Nomuraibacteriota. The record is from RNAcentral.
GCGGGUAUCGUAUAACGGCUAUUAUGCGUGCUUCCCAAGCACGAGACCGGAGUCCGACUCUCCGUACCCGCACCA